CUGAGGAAUAACACAACAAUCUGCACAACCUGAACCACGGAACUCAGCAGCACCAAGGCCUUUGAGACUGCUGCGAAGCACCCUUUCUGCGAAAGCCAAGCCUCCUUAAAAUGUCAUCCUUCCUCACAAUAACCUUCAAGGUCCACUGCCAUGCUUCAGAGACAGCAAAGUACCCCCUGGAAAGAUCCAUGUGGAGAAGAACUGAGGUCUUCUGUCAACAACCGGUACCAACUUUCUACUCAUGUGGGUUGUCAUCACCUUGUGAAGAAACUAUCCUCCUGAGGACUAGAGAGAACAUAGAGAGAGAGAGAGUUGCAGCCAUCCCAGCAUUCUGAGAUGAGACCCCCCAAUACAUGAAUGACGCCAUUCUGUACUAGCCAAUCCCCAGCCAACCCAUUUGAUUACUACAGCCACCUAAGUGACCUCAGGCCGGACCAGCAGAAGAACCACCCAUCUGAGCUCCAAAUUACAGAAUCAUAAGCAAAUAAAUUGUUGUUUUUUAAAGAUA
Felis catus (domestic cat) is the source of this 508-nucleotide long non-coding RNA. RefSeq lists it as uncharacterized. The transcript has 4 exons. The record is from RefSeq and is a predicted model, not a curated record. Lineage: Eukaryota; Metazoa; Chordata; Mammalia; Carnivora; Felidae.